GGGUCAGUAGGUUGGUCGUGCCACCGGUACGUACUGGUCUCACUGAUUCCUCCUUCCUGAAGAACCGUAAUGCCAUUAAUUUGGUGUUGCGGGGAAACAGGACUGUUACUUUGAAAAAAUUAGAGUGUUUAAAGCAAGCUAACGCUUGGAUACAUUAGCAUGGAAUAAUGAAAUAGGACGAUCGAUCCUAUUUUGUUGGUUUCCAGGAUUGACGUA
Molecule: ribosomal RNA, 216 nt
Filed under: Glomeromycotina sp.
Lineage: Eukaryota; Fungi; Glomeromycota
Description: partial small subunit ribosomal RNA
Rfam family: Eukaryotic small subunit ribosomal RNA (bases 40-216)
Source: RNAcentral